GUGAGGAAUAUUGGUCAAUGGGCGCAAGCCUGAACCAGCCAUCCCGCGUGCAGGAAGACGGCGCUAUGCGUUGUAAACUGCUUUUCCAGGGAGAGAAACUUGCGCACGUGUUGCGCAAUUGACGGUACCCUGGGAAUAAGCAUCGGCUAACUCCGUGCCAGCAGCCGCGGUAAUACGGAGGAUGCGAGCGUUAUCCGGAUUCAUUGGGUUUAAAGGGUGCGUAGGCGGACUAUUAAGUCAGUGGUGAAAUCCUGCAGCUUAACUGCAGAACUGCCAUUGAUACUGAUAGCCUUGAGUUUGGUUAAGGUAGGCGGAAUGUGUAAUGUAGCGGUGAAAUGCUUAGAUAUUACACAGAACACCAAUUGCGUAGGCAGCUUACUGAGCCGACACUGACGCUGAGGCACGAAAGCGUGGGGAUCGAACAGGAUUAGAUACCCUUGUAGUCC
RNAcentral lists this ribosomal RNA (446 nucleotides) under uncultured bacterium. RNAcentral's name for it is "partial 16S ribosomal RNA". It matches the Rfam family "Bacterial small subunit ribosomal RNA", at positions 354 to 796 of the family's 1533-position model. The record is from RNAcentral.